Lagopus leucura (white-tailed ptarmigan) is the source of this 885-nucleotide long non-coding RNA. RefSeq lists it as uncharacterized. NCBI's taxonomy places the organism in Eukaryota, Metazoa, Chordata, Aves, Galliformes, Phasianidae. The transcript is spliced from 2 exons. The record is from RefSeq and is a predicted model, not a curated record.
GGCUGGGCCGCUCCGCGCAGGGGAUUCCCAGAGCUCGCCCUAUAGUUCAGACAAAGUGAGGGGAAAAAAGGGAUUUUCCCGUUUGGAAGAGAGAAGAAUUGGGGCCUGACGCACCCCCUGGGUGACUCUGAAGUUCCCCCGGUGCUCCUUUGGCACCAAAUCUCUCCCUUGGCUGAAUGCUGCUGGCCCCCGGCCUGGUGGGACCCUGCCAGCACGGUGCUGGAGGUGAGAGCCUGGGAAACACCAUACCCACCCCAUCCUCCCCGCAGAACCUCACAGCCCCAUCUCUGUGGCAGCCUCUAUGAUCCGGGCUUCUUAUCUGGUGUUUUCCAGCUGGAACGGCCUUGGUUCCCUGUGUGGUAAAGGGGAUUGCUCUGUGGCACCUGGCUAUGGGGAAGGGAGGGAUGGAGCUGCCCCCGCGUUCCCUGGGCUGUUGUACCCCCAUGGGAUGUCAGCCCUGGCUUUGGAGGGCACUGGGAGGGUACAUUUGGUGCAGGCAGUGCUGUGUGCUGGCUCUGAUGUGGUGUUUCCUCCACAGCUGCUGCUCCUCUGCCCGCUCCUGGCUGCCCGGCAGCAGUUCUUCAGUGGCAAGCUUUAUGUCCUUCUCUAGUAGCUAAAGCUGCCAGUUGAAGAACUGUUGAAUGUAGCCACGCUCAUCGCUGCAACGUCGUCGGAUGUCAGCUGCAGCUGUGCCCUGAGCCACCGGGAUGAGUGAGCCAACAGCAUCCCAUGGAGGCACCCCAAGGGAGCUGAGGAUGAGCCUGGUGGGGAUGAGGAGCCUCCAGGCAAAGCCAGGGCUAUAAAACAGGGAAUGGGGUCCCACCCCAUGGUGGGAUGGCAUUGAAUUGAGACGGCCAGAGACAUUAAACUUUGUGUUUUCCUGAA